This 31-nucleotide non-coding RNA is filed under the name Rattus norvegicus (Norway rat). Lineage: Eukaryota; Metazoa; Chordata; Mammalia; Rodentia; Muridae. The record is from RNAcentral.
CUCUUGUGCCCCAUUUCCCUAAUUUCUUGGC